UUCGCCAGGGUACUACAAGCAUAAGCUUAAAACCUAAAGGACUUGGCGGUGCUUUAGACCCACCUAGAGGAGCCUGUUCUAUAACCGAUAACCCCCGUUAAACCUCACCUUUUCUUGUUUAUUCCGCCUAUAUACCGCCGUCGUCAGCUUACCCUGUGGAGGUAUUCUAAUAAGCAAAAUUGAUACAAUCCAAAACGCCAGGUCGAGGUGUAACAUAUGAAAAGGAAAGAAAUGGGCUACAUUUCCUACUUUAGGAUACUACGGAAAUUGAAAUGAAACAACACAUUAAAGGAGGAUUUAGCAGUAAGAAGGAAUUAGAGCGUCCU
RNAcentral lists this ribosomal RNA (326 nucleotides) under Fundulopanchax fallax. Its description in RNAcentral is "partial 12S ribosomal RNA". It matches the Rfam family "Bacterial small subunit ribosomal RNA", at positions 868 to 1360 of the family's 1533-position model. Lineage: Eukaryota; Metazoa; Chordata; Actinopteri; Cyprinodontiformes; Nothobranchiidae. The record is from RNAcentral.